UUGCUUUGGCUGCACAUAUAUUAAAAUUGGAAAGACACAGAGAAGAUUAGCAUGGCCCCUCCACAAGGAUAACAUGCAAAUUUAUGUAGUAUUCCAUAACAAA
Small nuclear RNA from Manis pentadactyla (Chinese pangolin), 103 nucleotides. The record is from RefSeq and is a predicted model, not a curated record. Lineage: Eukaryota; Metazoa; Chordata; Mammalia; Pholidota; Manidae.